GACGAACCGUGCGAGCGUUGUUCGGAAUCACUGGGCUUAAAGGGCGCGUAGGCGGUCAUUCAAGUCGGUGGUGAAAUCCUCCAGCUUAACUGGAGAAGAGCUGUCGAUACUGGAUGUCUCGAGGGGUGCAGGGGUCUGCGGAACUUCGGGUGGAGCGGUGAAAUGCGCAGAUAUCAGGAAGAACACCCGUGGCGAAGGCGGCUCUCUGGGACGGUACUGACGCUGAGACGCGAAAGCGUGGGGAGCGAACAGG
RNAcentral lists this ribosomal RNA (253 nucleotides) under uncultured bacterium. RNAcentral's name for it is "partial 16S ribosomal RNA". It matches the Rfam family "Bacterial small subunit ribosomal RNA", at positions 524 to 776 of the family's 1533-position model. The record is from RNAcentral.